AACGCUUUGAGCGGUGGAUCACUCGGCUCACGGGUCAAUGAAAGAACGCAGCCAGCUGUCAGAUUUGGUGUGAAUUACGGGACAUUGAGCACCGAUUUUUCCAGACCGCAUUGCGGCCUCGGGUAAUGCCCGGGGCCUCGCCUGUCUGAGGGUCGGCUAAGACUUGCAAAGGAAAUAAUAUUUCCUAUUGGCCGUAUCGGAGUCCUUCGUGGAUUUCGUCGGCUCAAGUACUCAUAGGAUCCUCCCCGGUCGAGAGAACACAAGCCCUAGUGCAUGCUCGUAGUUCGGAGAAAACGGACAACGUUUCUACACGAAGACGAGAAGGUAUGAUGCUGAGAAGACCAAACAUAGGGUACGAGAACCUACAUAAACUUAUUAACCUAUAUAAAAUUCACUUAUUGACAACUCAGAUCAGACGAGAUGACCCGCUGAAUUUAAGCAAAUAAAUAAGAGGGGGAAAGAAACCAACAGGGAUUCCCUGAGUAACGGUGACCGAAAGGGGAAGAGUCCAGCACUGAAGCCUCCUCUCGAGAGGGAGUCGGAAAAUGUGGCGUUUAGGAGUGAGAGUGCCGGUUGACUCAAGCAAGUCCCCUGACCGGGGCUGGCUUAGAGUGGGUGGUGCGAAUGGCCCACUUAAUAUAGGUCUCCGUCAGAUGCGAUCUCCUUGGAGUCAUUGCUUGGGAGUGCAGCCUAAUCGGGUGAGCAACUCACCUAAGGUUAAGCUCGGCCGUGGGACCGAUAGCAAACCAGUACCGUGAGGGAAAGUUGCAAAGAACAUUAAAAAAAAAAAAGAGAGUACGUGACACUGCUCAGAGGCAAACAGGUGGACCCUCAAACUCCUGUGUCGGGGAGGAUGCAGUUUUGACGUGGUCCCUUGUUUGAGAUUCAUUAUGGUUUCGCAGGCGUACACCAUUCGAGGAAGUUUCGCGUCAUGGAAAGCAUUUGUUUCCCGUACGAAGGACCCCGCUACCAGUUGCAAGGACUGCCUUAAGGGCGCGGCGUCAGUUGGCCGGUGGUCCAUUCAUUUGGAUCGUCGGCUGUUAGCCAGCGUGUCGCACGGCUCGUAGCGUGACCGUGAUGUCGCGUGGACUAUUUGAAGCUUCUUCGCCUCCUCCGUUCACGGACUCCUGGAUACAGUGGCGAGAGUGAGCACUUUUUGCAGGCGCACAGUUGAAUUCCGCUGGGAGGCAACUCCUCUUUGGCUGCUAUGUACCUGUCGGAGGUUGGCGGCUUGCGGGGAGUAGAUCGUUCACCCUCCCGACCCGUCUUGAAACACGGACCAAGGAUUAUAACAUGUCUGUGUGUCAAUGGGUCUCGAAUAAGCCCAGAGGCGCAAUGAAAGCAAAGGUCAGACUCGACGCCGAUUGUGUUGGGAUCCCUUCGAAAGAGUGUCGCACCAACGACCCGUCCUUUCUAAUUUAUUGGUUGGGUAGAGUUUGAGCAUACAUGUUGGGACCCGAAAGAUAGUGAAUUAUGCCCGGGCAGGACGAGGCCAGAGGAAACUCUGAUGGAGGUUCGCAGCGGUUCUGACGUGCAAAUAGAUCCGGGUAUAGGGGCGAAAAACUAAUCGCCCGAGUAAACAUCCCUCCGAAGUUUACCUCAGGAUAGCUGGCGCUCGGAAAACUCAGUCUCAUCCGGUAAGGCGAAUGAUUAGAGGCCUUGGGGUCGAAACGACCUUAACCUAUUCUCAAACUUUAAAUGGGUGAGAAGUCCGCCGUGCAUGACUGAAGGCCGUACGAUUGGAUGCGAGUGUCCAGUAGGCCACUUUUGGUAAGCAGAACUGGCUCUGUGGGAUAAACCAAACGUCUGAUUACGGCAUCCGAUGCGAAACGCUCAUGAGGCCCCAUGAAAGGUAUUGUUUGCUCUAGACAGA
Molecule: ribosomal RNA, 1873 nt
Filed under: Araneus ventricosus
Lineage: Eukaryota; Metazoa; Arthropoda; Arachnida; Araneae; Araneidae
Description: partial 28S ribosomal RNA
Rfam family: Eukaryotic large subunit ribosomal RNA (bases 402-1873)
Source: RNAcentral